This 223-nucleotide ribosomal RNA is filed under the name uncultured bacterium. Its description in RNAcentral is "partial 16S ribosomal RNA". It matches the Rfam family "Bacterial small subunit ribosomal RNA", at positions 116 to 334 of the family's 1533-position model. The record is from RNAcentral.
CGUAGGUAACCUGCCUCUUAGCGGGGGAUAACUAUUGGAAACGGUAGCUAAUACCGCAUAAAAGUCGAUAUCGCAUGAUAUUGAUUUGAAAGGUGCAAUUGCAUCACUAAGAGAUGGACCUGCGUUGUAUUAGCUAGUUGGUGAGGUAACGGCUCACCAAGGCGACGAUACAUAGCCGACCUGAGAGGGUGAUCGGCCACACUGGGACUGAGACACGGCCCAG